This 1398-nucleotide long non-coding RNA is filed under the name Capra hircus (goat). RNAcentral's name for it is "lncRNA (ENSCHIG00010002286.1)". Lineage: Eukaryota; Metazoa; Chordata; Mammalia; Artiodactyla; Bovidae. The record is from RNAcentral.
UGGUCAUAACUUUCCUUCCAAGGAGUAGGAGUCUUUUAAUUUCAUGGCUGGCAUGUGCUUCUCCUCAAAUCUCUUCCCCCACACGGACCCAAGUCCUCCACUCCAGCCCUCCACAUUGUACUUCCCAGCAAGAGAACUCCCCCGCUUUAGGAACGGGGCCCAGGGGCACAGGCUGGUGGGUGUGGUUUCUCCCCUGAGAGCAGGGCGCACGUGCGGUGUCUGGUAAUGUUCCAGCCUCCCACCAGGGUCAUUUUUGUCCUGCCCCACGGUGGAAAGCCCCUACCCUUCCUGAUCAUUUCAAAAGUUGCACAAUAUUCCAUCCAGUGGACCUGCCAUGGUUUAUUUAAACAUUCCCCCCUCCGUCAGGGCUGUAGAUUUUUUUUUUCCCUGUUGGUUUCUUUUUCUGUCAUAAAUAAAGCGCCCUUUGUUUUCCAUUCCUCUCUGUCUGAGGCCUCCAUCAAUAUUUACAAGAGAAGCGGUUCCGUCUGGAAGAACCAGGUUGCUGAAACAACCAUAGCAACCGCAGCCGUUGCCUGCCUGGGGCCUGGGUUCCACUCUUGCUGCAGGGCACAGAGCUGCCCUUGAGAAUGGCCAGUGGGAAGGGCGAGGCCGGAGGCCCUGCUGCCCUGGGGGAUUCCUGGAGCUAGAAUGCAAGACAAGGGUUCCCGCCCUACAUGCCAGGCACUGAGCGCUCGCUUUUUACGCCUCCCCUCACAAGCCCAGUUUACAAGUGAGAAGAGUGAGGCUCAGAGAGCACAAGGACACUUGCUAAAGACCCCCAGUCUCCUGAAAAGCAUCCUUGACCCUGGCCUGCCGACUCAGCACAGCGUCCUUUCCCUUCCUCUGCCGUGAAGCACAGAGCCAAGGACGUGGCGUCCACUGUCUCCUGCCCCUCAUCCCUGUCCGUCCCCCACCGGCCGAUGAUGCUCUAUCCUUAAAACUGGAACUCAGAAGAAACCGUCUGCAGCUCUCCGACCCUCCACACCUGCACCUGUCAAAAGGGUUUGCCACCACCAGCCUCCAGCGGAGCUGUAAGGACUGGUCCAGGGGCUGCUCCACGGUCGGUCCCAGAAGCAGCAUCGUCUUCUGCAGGGAGGCUGCUGUAAGCCAGCUCAGGGGAGGGAUCCCUCAUACACCCACUGCCGUUUCUCACUGGCCUGGUCCCGUGGAAGGAGGUCGUCUGACAUUUAAGCUCCAGACGCCCCAUCUUGUUUGACAAGGUCUAGGGACUGGGGAAGGAGGCUCAAGCUAUGCAUAGACCAUCCGGGCUUUGAGAUGAACCUCUGCGGUCCUUUAACAGGGUGAGUGACUGGCUGACCUGAGUUUCCCAGACUCAAAGCAUUAGGCAUUUCCCCAGGGCAUCCGACAGCAGUGAAGAGCGCCAGAGGCUGCUCAGAG